Molecule: ribosomal RNA, 785 nt
Filed under: uncultured bacterium
Lineage: Bacteria
Description: bacterial SSU rRNA
Rfam family: Bacterial small subunit ribosomal RNA
Source: RNAcentral
AGAGUUUGAUCCUGGCUCAGAACGUACGCUGGCGGCACGCCUAACACAUGCAAGUCGAACGAAGUAGCAAUACUUAGUGGCAGACGGGUGAGUAACAUGUGGGUAUCUACCCUUUGGCCUGGAAUAACACGAGGAAACUUGUGCUAAUACCGGAUAAGUCUUUACGGAGAAAGCUUUAUGCACCAUUGGAUGAGCCCGCACUUGAUUAGUUUGUUGGUAGGGUAAUGGCCUACCAAGACUAUGAUCAAUAGCUGAUUUGAGAGGAUGAUCAGCCACAUUGGGACUGAGACACGGCCCAAACUCCUACGGGAGGCAGCAGUGGGGAAUCUUGCACAAUGGAGGAAACUCUGAUGCAGCGAUGCCGCGUGAGUGAAGAAGGCCUUUGGGUUGUAAAGCUCUUUCGUCGGGGAAGAAAAUGACUGUACCCGAAUAAGAAGGUCCGGCUAACUUCGUGCCAGCAGCCGCGGUAAUACGAAGGGACCUAGCGUAGUUCGGAAUUACUGGGCUUAAAGAGUUCGUAGGUGGUUGAAAAAGUUGGUGGUGAAAUCCCAGAGCUUAACUCUGGAACUGCCAUCAAAACUUUUCAGCUAGAGUAUGAUAGAGGAAAGCAGAAUUUCUAGUGUAGAGGUGAAAUUCGUAGAUAUUAGAAAGAAUACCAAUUGCGAAGGCAGCUUUCUGGAUCAUUACUGACACUGAGGAACGAAAGCAUGGGUAGCGAAGAGGAUUAGAUACCCUCGUAGUCCAUGCCGUAAACGAUGUGUGUUAGACGUUGGAAAUUUAUUUUC